AUUCGGUGUCCGCAAGGACUCAAUAGGGAAUCGGGUGUGAAUCCCGUACAGUUCCCGCUGCUGUGUCGGUUGGACGCUUGCCCGUAUGCCACUGUCUGACGCUGGUCGGAUGGGAAGGCGGCAAGUUGAGACCCAAGUCAGAAGACCUGCCUUAUGUCGUA
Molecule: non-coding RNA, 161 nt
Filed under: bovine gut metagenome
Source: RNAcentral